The sequence is a ribosomal RNA, 949 nucleotides long. It matches the Rfam family "Eukaryotic large subunit ribosomal RNA", at positions 1 to 941 of the family's 3401-position model.
CUCUCAGCCGCUAAACCCCCCAAUUUUUAAUGGUUGACCUCGGAUCAGGUAGGAAUACCCGCUGAACUUAAGCAUAUCAAUAAGCGGAGGAAAAGAAACCAACAGGGAUUGCCCUAGUAACGGCGAGUGAAGCGGCAACAGCUCAAAUUUGAAAUCUGGCCCUUGGGUCCGAAUUGUAAUUUGUAGAGGAUGUUUUUGGUGCGGUAUCUUCCGAGUUCCUUGGAACAGGACGCCUUAGAGGGUGAGAGCCCCGUACGGUUGAAUGCCUAGCCUUUGUAAAACUCCUUCGACGAGUCGAGUAGUUUGGGAAUGCUGCUCUAAAUGGGAGGUAAAUUUCUUCUAAAGCUAAAUACCGGCCAGAGACCGAUAGCGCACAAGUAGAGUGAUCGAAAGAUGAAAAGCACUUUGAAAAGAGGGUUAAAUAGCACGUGAAAUUGUUGAAAGGGAAGGAUUUAUGACCAGACUUUUUCUAGGCGAAUCAUCCGGUGUUCUCACCGGUGCACUUCGUUUAGUUCAGGCCAGCAUCGAUUUUCGGGGCGGGAUAAAAGCUUUAGGAAUGUAGCUCCCUCGGGAGUGUUAUAGCCUGUUGUAUAAUAUCGCCCUGGGGAUCGAGGUACGCGCUUCUGCAAGGAUGCUGGCGUAAUGGUUAUCAAUCACCCGUCUUGAAACACGGACCAAGGAGUCGAACAUUUGUGCAAGUGUUUGGGUGUUAAACCCUCACGCGUAAUGAAAGUGAACGGAGGUGAGAGCCCUUUCGGGGGUGCAUCAUCGACCGAUCCUGAUGUCUUCGGAUGGAUUUGAGUAAGAGCAUAAAUGUUCGGACCCGAAAGAUGGUGAACUAUGCGUGGAUAGGGUGAAGCCAGAGGAAACUCUGGUGGAGGCUCGCAGCGGUUCUGACGUGCAAAUCGAUCGUCAAAUCUGCGCAUGGGGGCGAAAGACUAAUCGAACC